GGUCCAGCCUGCGGCCCAGGCCGAGCGCGGCGGCGGCGGCGGGCGGGGUCUUGGCGGCGCGCGGUUUGGGGGUUUUUUAUAACCCUGGCAGGCUGCUCAGGAAGUGCCGUCCCCGCGCCCCCUCCCCCGGCCACGCCGCCGCGCUUGCUCCCUCCCUUCCUGCGCGCGGGCCGGCGAGACGGCGGCGGGGACGGCAGGCGGAGGCCCCGGCUGGCGGCCGGCCGCGGGCUCCCAGAAGAAGCACUGAGACCCAGAGAGGCUCACACACAGGGGUUCAACACCACGCCACUAACUGAAGCCCCCAAAAGG
This is a non-coding RNA of Sus scrofa (pig), 309 nucleotides long. Lineage: Eukaryota; Metazoa; Chordata; Mammalia; Artiodactyla; Suidae. The record is from RefSeq and is a predicted model, not a curated record.